ACCUUAUAGUAGUCCAUUAUCUCUACAUGGAUCCUCACCCGUUGAAGAUAUUGCGGGGACAGAUACACAUGCAUCUCCUAUGAGUCCACCUAUGAGUCAACGUCAUCAUCGGGAUUCAUCGCCUGGUCUAGACAAUCAUCAUGAUGGAUCCAGUGAUGACGAGAUCCAACACGAGUCUUUUGCGAGAUCUUCUCAGUCGGAAGUUGAAU
This is a long non-coding RNA of Asparagus officinalis (garden asparagus), 209 nucleotides long. RefSeq lists it as uncharacterized. The transcript is spliced from 3 exons. Lineage: Eukaryota; Viridiplantae; Streptophyta; Magnoliopsida; Asparagales; Asparagaceae. The record is from RefSeq and is a predicted model, not a curated record.